RNAcentral lists this ribosomal RNA (301 nucleotides) under uncultured bacterium. RNAcentral's name for it is "partial 16S ribosomal RNA". It matches the Rfam family "Bacterial small subunit ribosomal RNA", at positions 509 to 809 of the family's 1533-position model. The record is from RNAcentral.
CAGUAGCCGCGGUAAAACGGAGGGGGCUAGCGUUGUUCGGAAUUACUGGGCGUAAAGCGCACGUAGGCGGCUUGGUAAGUUAGAGGUGAAAGCCCGGAGCUCAACUCCGGAAUUGCCUUUAAGACUGCCGAGCUAGUAGGUGAGAGAGGUAAGUGGAAUUCCGAGUGUAGAGGUGAAAUUCGUAGAUAUUCGGAAGAACACCAGUGGCGAAGGCGGCUUACUGGCUCAUUCUAGACGCUGAGGUGCGAAAGCGUGGGGAGCAGACAGGAUUAGAUACCCGGGUAGUCCCUGUCUCUUAUAU